Molecule: long non-coding RNA, 734 nt
Organism: Armigeres subalbatus
Lineage: Eukaryota; Metazoa; Arthropoda; Insecta; Diptera; Culicidae
Exons: 3
Source: RefSeq, a predicted model, not a curated record
CAGAAAACAAAAAUUGUUUUAUUAAAUCAGUUCGACUUUACAUUUAAAAAGUACAAAUAAGUCUUCAUAUUAAAAGUUUAAUUUUUACUGUAAAAGUCGUUUUUUUAAUUAAAAAGUAUCCUUUUUUGGUUUACAGUGUAGAUUUAAAAGUAUUUUCUUUCACCGUAAUAAUUAUUCAAAUGUCAAAUUGGAACGAAAAUUCCAAAAACAAACAAACAAAAUAAAAUUUAUCGAUGAUCAGUUCACAACAAGACAACAGUCAACUGAGCCAGAUCAGCUUUCCACAGAUUUAUAUCAAAAUUUGAUAAAAUAAUGACGCCAAAGAGAAGGGAACGCCACCAUAAAAACAAUGAGCGACAUGGCGGUUUUUCAUUUCAACUUCCGAAGCGGAGCUAAUUCAUGCAACCUAAUCCACACUAUACGUUUCAAGCGGAAGUCCCGAGGGAAGGCCUGUACAAAUUUAAUAAGACCAGUUACGUGGAGAACCAUCGUUCUUGAUUUCAUCUGAAAUAAUAAGCAUGCCAAUUAAAUGAGCCUACGAAGGAAUGAAUACGAUCCAUUCUGCUUGUUCGGAUGAUCUGAAUGAACUUGCGGCAGCAUGAAUCGUCUCGAGUUUAUGUGGCCCAUAAUUGUUUGUUAUUACGGUUAUUACUCAAACAUUCAAAACUCGAGUAUAAAGAAUACUAUCAUUUCAGUUUAAUUAGUCUGCUAUAAUGAAAUAUAAAGAAAAACUA